AUUGAACGCUGGCGGCAUGCCUUACACAUGCAAGUCGAACGGUAACGGGCCUUCGGGUGCCGACGAGUGGCGAACGGGUGAGUAAUGCAUCGGAACGUACCCAUCAGUGGGGGAUAACUCUCCGAAAGGAGGGCUAAUACCGCAUAUUCUGUGCGCAGGACAGCGGGGGACCGCAAGGCCUCGCGCUGAUGGAGCGGCCGAUGUCAGAUUAGCUAGUUGGUGGGGUAAAGGCCUACCAAGGCGACGAUCUGUAGCGGGUCUGAGAGGAUGAUCCGCCACACUGGGACUGAGACACGGCCCAGACUCCUACGGGAGGCAGCAGUGGGGAAUUUUGGACAAUGGGGGCAACCCUGAUCCAGCCAUGCCGCGUGAGUGAAGAAGGCCUUCGGGUUGUAAAGCUCUUUCGGCCGGGAAGAAAUCGCAUCUCCUAAUACGGGGUGUGGAUGACGGUACCGGAAUAAGAAGCACCGGCUAACUACGUGCCAGCCGCCGCUGUAA
RNAcentral lists this ribosomal RNA (498 nucleotides) under uncultured bacterium. RNAcentral describes it as "partial 16S ribosomal RNA". It matches the Rfam family "Bacterial small subunit ribosomal RNA", at positions 29 to 523 of the family's 1533-position model. The record is from RNAcentral.